This 259-nucleotide ribosomal RNA is filed under the name uncultured bacterium. Its description in RNAcentral is "partial 16S ribosomal RNA". It matches the Rfam family "Bacterial small subunit ribosomal RNA", at positions 1245 to 1500 of the family's 1533-position model. The record is from RNAcentral.
AGAAGCGAAACUAGCGAAGUGGAGCAAAACUACUAAAAAACAAAUCUCAGUUCAGAUUGCAGGCUGCAACUCGCCUGCAUGAAGUCGGAAUUGCUAGUAAUCGUAGGUCAGCAUACUACGGUGAAUACGUUCCCGGGCCUUGUACACACCGCCCGUCAAACCAUGAGAGUUGGCAACACCCGAAGUCGGUAGUCUAACCGCAAGGAGGACGCCGCCGAAGGUGGGGUUGAUGAUUAGGGUUAAGUCGUAACAAGGUAGC